RNAcentral lists this ribosomal RNA (405 nucleotides) under uncultured bacterium. RNAcentral describes it as "partial 16S ribosomal RNA". It matches the Rfam family "Bacterial small subunit ribosomal RNA", at positions 30 to 526 of the family's 1533-position model. The record is from RNAcentral.
AUUGAACGCUGGCGGCAGGCUUAACACAUGCAAGUCGAACGAGUGGCGGGCGGGUGAGUAAUGCUUGGGAAUCUAGCUUGUGGAGGGGGAUAACUAAGGGGAACUGUAGCUAAAACCGCAUUCCUGAGGCUGAGCCCAAGUAGGAUUAGGUAGUUGGUGAGGUAAAGGCUCACCAAGACGACGAACUCUAGCUGGUCUGAGAGGAUGACCAGUCACACUGGAACUGAGACACGGUCCAGACUCCUACGUGAGGCAGCAGUGGGGAAUAUUGCGCAAUGGGCGCAACCUGAUGCAGCCAUGCCGCGUGAAUGAAGAAGGCCUUCGGGUUGUAAAGUUCUUUCGGUAGCGAGGCGUUACCUACAGAAGAAGCACCGGCUAACUUCGUGCCAGCAGCCGCGGUAAUUC